GCUAGAAGUCUUGUCAUGUCAAGUCUUGUGGAAAAGACGCAGUGGCUGCAUUGUGAAUCACAUGACUAGAUAAGUGCUGCGCUACUCACUGUGCUUUCCUGUGCAUUUGAGUGUUAUAGGUGUUUCUAAGAUCCCGAUUUUCUUCCUCCUCCACCAUCUAGCCACCACCAGCCUGCUGGCAGCACUGUACAGUUUCCUGUGCAGCGUUGUGGCUGUCGCCUUGCUGUAUGGGUUGUGCUACGGAGCUUUAAGGGAUUCCUGGGAUGGCCAGCACAUUCCGGUACUCUUCUCUGUUUUCUGUGGUUUGCUGGUGGCAGUAUCGUAUCACCUCAGCCGACAGAGCAGCGACCCAUCUGUACUCUUCUCUUUGAUACAAUCCAAG
RNAcentral lists this long non-coding RNA (382 nucleotides) under Rattus norvegicus (Norway rat). Its description in RNAcentral is "long non-coding RNA NONRATT024464". Lineage: Eukaryota; Metazoa; Chordata; Mammalia; Rodentia; Muridae. The record is from RNAcentral.